This 694-nucleotide long non-coding RNA is filed under the name Vigna radiata. RNAcentral's name for it is "long non-coding RNA (VRAD_LNC008021)". The record is from RNAcentral. Lineage: Eukaryota; Viridiplantae; Streptophyta; Magnoliopsida; Fabales; Fabaceae.
UUGAAUCAAGUAUAGAGGUUGCAUCCAGAAAGAAAGGAGCGAUUAUCACUAUCUAAGCAACAUGGGAGAGGAGUAUGGGAAGGGGUGGGGAGGUAGGUGAUGGUGGUGGUGUCGUUGACAACAUUAAGAGAGGGAAGGGGAGAGGUUAACAUUGAGAUGAACUCGACCCAACAGCUUGGCAUCGCGCACCCAGUAGGAAUGACCUAUUGGGUCGUUGUAAACGGAGCGAACAAGGAUAAGAGACUUUCCGGAAAGGCGACAGGGUCGAGUUCGAAGGUCGGGGCAAAGGUGGUGGUGUCAGGGGUGAAAGCCGAGGUGAAGAGAGGGAGAAUGGUGGUUACCCAUGUUAGCCAUGGUAACGAGGAAGAGAAAAUUUCAUCAAACAUGUAAUCACAUGUUUGCAAUGAAACAUUUCAUCACGUGGCAAGACGUUAAAAUGUCAUCAAACAUGUAAUCACAUGUUUGCAAUGAAACAUUUCAUCACGUGGCAAGACGUUAGCCAGCUUAGUCAUUUUUUAACCGCAUUAGUUUUGGAGGACGAAAAAUUAUAGUUUCCUUAAGAACAAGGAUCAAAAUGUACCAAAGUUUGACAGAAGAAACUAAAACUAAAAUUGCUUGAUAGUUAAGGGACUAAAAACAAAAUAAAAUUACUAAAUUAAGAUUUUUCAUAUGACAUUCUCACCGUCACUGCCAC